Molecule: ribosomal RNA, 497 nt
Filed under: uncultured bacterium
Lineage: Bacteria
Description: partial 16S ribosomal RNA
Rfam family: Bacterial small subunit ribosomal RNA
Source: RNAcentral
GAUGAACGCUGGCGGCGUGCCUAAUACAUGCAAGUCGAGCGAACGGACGAGAAGCUUGCUUUUCUGAUGUUAGCGGCGGACGGGUGAGUAACACGUGGAUAACCUACCUAUAAGACUGGGAUAACUUCGGGAAACCGGAGCUAAUACCGGAUAAUAUUUUGAACCGCAUGGUUCAAAAGUGAAAGACGGUCUUGCUGUCACUUAUAGAUGGAUCCGCGCUGCAUUAGCUAGUUGGUAAGGUAACGGCUUACCAAGGCAACGAUGCAUAGCCGACCUGAGAGGGUGAUCGGCCACACUGGAACUGAGACACGGUCCAGACUCCUACGGGAGGCAGCAGUAGGGAAUCUUCCGCAAUGGGCGAAAGCCUGACGGAGCAACGCCGCGUGAGUGAUGAAGGUCUUCGGAUCGUAAAACUCUGUUAUGAGGGAAGAACAUAUGUGUAAGUAACUGUGCACAUCUUGACGGUACCUAAUCAGAAAGCCACGGCUAACUACGUG